UGCCCACAUCAUUAUUAGACUGGUGAGGUGUUGCAUCACACUUUUGUUGAUGGCUUGGACAAGACAUCAAAGAUGAAUCUUGACUUAGCUUGUGGGAGUAGUUGCAUGGCAAGGUCGUAUAGUGAAGUCCAGCUCCCACUUAACAAUUUCACUGCUAAUGAUAAUAAUUGGCAAGUAGAUGGGGAAUCACGAAGAGCACUUAAACAGAAGGCAACAGGUGAAAUUGAGCUUGAUUAUUUCUCAUCCAUGAGAGCAGAUAUAGAGAAAUUAGCAAAUCAGAUGAAUAGAAUGACAAUGCACCAAACGCAACAUGUGCAACUGAUGUCUACUUGUUGUAAGUUAUAUGGUGAAGAUCACACGAGUGACAUAUAUCACACGAAUCCUGAAUUCAUAUAUUAUGUGGGCAACAUAGAAGAGGUUCGAUAAAUCAACAUGCACAAUAUGAGAACACUUACAACCCAAACUAGAAGAAUCACCCUAACUUCUCUUGGGGUGGAAAUCAGACGACUCAGAAUCAGUAUAGACCCCAAGGAAAUUACAAUCAAGCUCAGAAGCCACCCUAGCAAGUAUAGGAGAGUAUGAAUAACCCCAUGAAGAAUUUGUUGCUAGACAAUCAAUAACUCAGGACCAACUUUAGAAAUAUUGAGAGAUAAGUUAGGUAGUUAGCAUCAAAUCAAAAUACUAGGCCUGCGGCGCUCUUUCCAGUGAUAUAGAGAAUACCUCAAGUUAAUGUAGACAGACUCGGAAGGGAAUUAAAAGAAGUACCAAAGAAGAGAAUAGAUAAGCAUAUACCUGAGGGGGAGUUGAUUCAUAAAGUAACAUACGAGUCAAAGAAAGAUGAUGCCAGUAGGUGCUAUAAGGCCACUACCGCCUUUCCCCCAUAGUUUACAGAAGAAGAAUGAUGAUCACAUAUUUAACAAAUUUCUCUCUUUGUUGAGUCAUGUUUAAUUAAAUAUUCCAUUGGUGGAUGUACUUCAUGAAAUUCAAAAAUAUGCUAAGUACAUCAAAGAUAUAGUGGCUCACAAGAGGAAAUUGACUAAAUUCGAGACAGUCGCACUUAUUGAGGAAUGCACUUCGAGGGUCCAAAACAAGCUUCCUCCAAAGCUUAAGGAUCCUGGCAGCUUCACCAUCCCUGUGUGGAUUGGUAAUGUUGAUGUAGGUCAUGCUCUAUAUGAUUUGGGGGCGAGCAUAAAUCUGAUGUCAUUGUCCUUGUUCAAGCAAUUGGUAUCUACAUGUAGGGAUUAAACCCUUUUGAGGCCCUAAAUAGGCCAAGUGGGCCUCCACCCAAGGUGUCAAUUGAAGAAGCUCCAAAAUUGGAACUUAAACCCUUGCCCUCUCACCUUCAAUAUGCCUAUUUGGGUAGUUCUGAAACUCUACCUGUUAUUGUUUCCUCUAACUUGUAUAAAUUUCAGGAAGAAAAGCUCUUAAGAGUGCUGCAUGAGAACAAGCGAGCAAUAGGGUGGACGACGUCUGACAUUAUAGGCAUUAGUCCGGCCUUCUGCAUGAUAUAAUUCUCAUGGAUGAAGGACAUAAGACAAAUGUAGAGCACCAAUGCCUCCUAAAUCCAAUCAUGAAAGAGGUGGUAAGAAAAGAAGUGAUUAAAUGGCUUGAUACAGGUAUUAUAUUUCCAAUCUCUAAUAGCAAAUGGGUAAGCCUCGUCCAAUAUGUGUCUGGGAAGGGGUAAUGACUAUAGUGGUUAAUGAAAAUAAUGCUUGAUUCCCAUAAGAACUAUGACUCGGUGGAGAAUUUGCAUAGAUUAUAAAAAUUAAACAAUGCCACAAUUGACCAAAUACUUGAUAGACUAGCUGGAAAGGAAUAUUAUUGUUUCCUAGAUGUCUAUUUAGGGUAUAAUCAGAAUUCUAUCGUCCUAGAGGACCAAAAGAAUACCACAAUUAUGUGUCCCUGUAAAACAUAUACGUUCAAGAGAAUGUCAUUUCUGUAAUGCACAUGCGACUUUUCAAAGUUGUAUGAUGGCUAUUUUUACUGACAUGGUUGAAAGAUUUGUAGAAGUGUUCAUGGAUGAUUUUUCUGUGUUUGGGUAUUCUUUUGAUAAUUGUUUAAUGAACCUCAAUAAAGUGCUUGUUAGGUGUGAAGAGACAAACUUGGUGCUAAACUGGGAGAAGUACCAUUUCAUGGUACGAGAAGGUAUAGUCUUGGUGCACAAGGUGUCCUAAAAUAGUCUGCACGUGGACAAGGCAAAAGUGUAGGUGAUUGAAAAAUUACCGCCACCUACAUCUGUUAAGGGCAUUCAUAGUUUCUUGGGCCAUUCAGGUUUUUAUCGUCGUUUCAUUAAAGAUUUUUCAAAAAUUUCCUCUCCUCUAUGCAAGCUUCUUGAGAAAGAUAUCCCCUUCAAAUUUGAUGAUGCCUGUCUGAAAGCAUUUGAGAAGAUAAAGAAAAUAUUGGUGACUGCAUCAAUUAUCAUUGCCCUGGACCGGGCGCAACCAUUUGAGUUGAUGUGCGAUGCGAGCAAUGUCACAAUAGGAGCUAUUUUGGGACAACAGAAGGAUAAAAAAUUUCACUACAUUUAUUAUGCGAGCAAAACUCUGAAUCUAACCCAUAUGAACUACACUUUUACUGAAAAAGAGUUGCUUGCAAUAUUGUGGGCGUUUGACAAGUUCUUAUCCUAUUUUGUGGGAGCCAAAGUCAUCGUCUACACAAAUCACUCAACUAUAAGGUAUUUGUUUGAAAAGAGAGGCGCCAAGCCGAGGCUGAUUUGUUGGGUUCUCCUUUUGCAAGAAUUUGACUUGUAGAUACGAGAUUGUCACACCUCCUUUUUUACUACACCCCCGUAAAGGGGUAUAAGGGAGUUUUUCCAAUUUAAAGUGACAAUCGAAACGGGAUAAUUUUAUUAAAAAUUCAGAGUCGCCACUUGGGAUAAUUUAUGGUGUCCCAAGUCACCGAUUCAAAUCCCGAAUCGAGGAAAAGAUUGACUAUAUUUUUCAGUCCGCGAACACAGAAAUUCGGGUAAAGAAUUCUGUUAACUCGUUGGAAGGUGUUAGGCAUACCCGGAUUUCGUGGUUCUGGCACAGUCGCUUAACUGUUAUCAUUGGCCUAAUUAUCUAAUUUUAAAACACUUUUUAACCGCUUUUAUUCAUUUUUAGGAAGAUUUCAACGUUAUACAAAACACGCCUUUAGAUCACGCCACAUGAAAUGCACUCGCGAUCCGCGACAUAUUUUAUUUAACGUUAUUAGGAUUUGGAUUUGGGUCACAUGAAAUGCACACCCGAGUUUAGGAAAGUAAUUUUUAAAAUAGCUCGCCUAAAGCAACUAUGCAUUUUAAAUUUGCGGGGGCCAUGGAAAAUUCAACUAAAUGGUGCUCCUCGAUUUCUAAAGGAUUAAAAUUAAUUAAGUGAGGGCCAUGCGUUUGAGAUUUUAUUUGGCAUGGCACGCCUCAAAUUAUUCCAAAGGGCUUUACUCGACUAAAAUAAACUACGGAUAUUCAUAAGUUAUUAUUUCUUAAACUACUUCAAUUUUUUCUUUUUAAAUCUAGUAGAUGAAAUAAUAUAUAUUUCUACAUAUAACAUCAGAUCAUUAAACCUAUCCAGGAGACAAAAGCACAAACAAAACGUAUAAACUUAUCCUGAAUAUUAAUGGUCUAAGAAACUCUAUUCAACACAUAAUUACAGAGAUUCAAUAUUCAUGAAUCAAAAAAUGCUAACCCAAGAACCCGUUUCGUGCUUCUGUACUCGUUGUCCAAUUAACUUACAAUUCAAACAAUUUCAAUGGAUAAACUACCAUGACAAUCCAUUAGAACUAACAACCAGUGCCUAACUCUACAUUCACAAACCAUGCUACUGAAGACAAAAUAAGGAUCGAAGCUAGAGCCACUAAUCUCUCACAUGAAUUUCGGAAAUAGGAAACAAACUUCAACCAUAUCAAUAUAAUUACUAAAAUCAAUGGAAAUGGAAGAACAUGAAAUCCUCUGAGAUGUAUUACUCAAAUUCAUAGCAGUGACAACUUGAUACUAACAAGGGUACAUUUAGAGCCAACAAAGUAAUAUAACUGAAAAGCAUUUAAGAUCCAGCAAGCAAUUCCUCAACAAAAAAAAUAGCAAAAUAACUCAACAAAACAUUGAACUAACAGCAUGCCGUGAAUUUAAUACUUCUCAUUUCCAGUAAUAAAUACAAACAAUUAGAGAUUCAGGGAUAUGUACCUAACUGCAGAGAGACUCGUAGGAACAAUGACCCAAAUAAAGGUCCAAAUUGAUAAAUGAAAUUGGGCAACAGAAACGGCCAAACAAGGAGACAACAGUAGCAAAAACCAAGCAAUGGCUUAUAGAGCUUCAGCAAUAAUCAACAACAAACAAACCGUAGACAGCCUCCAAUCACAGCUAAAAUCAGCUUUGUAAAUAACUGAACUUGUAUAAAAGCAACAGAGAUAUCAGGCAACUCUUGAAAUCUCUUUAAUGAUUUUGAUUUUUUGAUUCAGCCGCUGAUCUUCUUGGAUGGGGGUGAUGAUUUUGGUCUAUCUUUUCUUCUUUUAGAAAUGAAGCGCAAGAAGCAGAAGGAAGGGCUCCGUGUUGCGCCAUUUGUAAUGGCAGGGGUCUAAAAAAAAUCGUCUCCUCCCUCUCUUGUCUAGGUUUUAGGGAUUUAAGGGUAGGGAAAUGGGUAUUGGGCUUGGGUCAAGGAAAG
RNAcentral lists this long non-coding RNA (4631 nucleotides) under Nicotiana tabacum (common tobacco). Its description in RNAcentral is "long non-coding RNA (NTAB_LNC006613)". The record is from RNAcentral. Lineage: Eukaryota; Viridiplantae; Streptophyta; Magnoliopsida; Solanales; Solanaceae.